AUAACUUGGUAAAGUAUAGGGACCAAGGGUGACAAACUUGAAACAAGUUUGUAUUAAAUAAAACAUUCAAACACCAAAACACACACUUUAAGUGUGUGUUCUGGUCGUAAAUUACAAAGGAGCCAGAGAACUCCAUGGCUCAAACCCUAACUAGCAAAAAUCAAGCAAUUGAAGGGGCAAAUCAAGUCCAAAUCAAAAUCCGAAUACGAAUUAGUGAUCUCCAUUGAAAAAGGAGUUACGAGUUUGACGCUUAACGAGCUAGGUGGAGGCUUGAGAAAGAAGCGGUUAAACGAAUCAAGCGCGUGAAGAAAGGCGUAAACCGGAUGAGAGGUAUAAUUUUAGCACCGGAGGACGAUCAAGCACAACGAAGAACCGAACGCGAUCAAGAUAUAAGCUUCCGCACUUUUUAUCG
Molecule: long non-coding RNA, 412 nt
Organism: Helianthus annuus (common sunflower)
Lineage: Eukaryota; Viridiplantae; Streptophyta; Magnoliopsida; Asterales; Asteraceae
Exons: 3
Source: RefSeq, a predicted model, not a curated record